This 549-nucleotide ribosomal RNA is filed under the name uncultured bacterium. Its description in RNAcentral is "bacterial SSU rRNA". It matches the Rfam family "Bacterial small subunit ribosomal RNA", at positions 355 to 897 of the family's 1533-position model. The record is from RNAcentral.
UGGGGAAUAUUGCGCAAUGGGGGGAACCCUGACGCAGCCAUGCCGCGUGAAUGAAGAAGGCCUUCGGGUUGUAAAGUUCUUUCGGUAUUGAGGAAGGUUGAUGUGUUAAUAGCACAUCAAAUUGACGUUAAAUACAGAAGAAGCACCGGCUAACUCCGUGCCAGCAGCCGCGGUAAUACGGAGGGUGCGAGCGUUAAUCGGAAUAACUGGGCGUAAAGGGCACGCAGGCGGUUAUUUAAGUGAGGUGUGAAAGCCCUGGGCUUAACCUAGGAAUUGCAUUUCAGACUGGGUAACUAGAGUACUUUAGGGAGGGGUAGAAUUCCACGUGUAGCGGUGAAAUGCGUAGAGAUGUGGAGGAAUACCGAAGGCGAAGGCAGCCCCUUGGGAAUGUACUGACGCUCAUGUGCGAAAGCGUGGGGAGCAAACAGGAUUAGAUACCCUGGUAGUCCACGCUGUAAACGCUGUCGAUUUGGGGGUUGGGGUUUAACUCUGGCGCCCGUAGCUAAACGUGAUAAAUCGACCGCCUGGGGAGUACGGCCGCAAGGUUAA